GAUGAACGCUGGCGGCGUGCCUAAUACAUGCAAGUCGAGCGAACGGACGAGAAGCUUGCUUCUCUGAUGUUAGCGGCGGACGGGUGAGUAACACGUGGAUAACCUACCUAUAAGACUGGGAUAACUUCGGGAAACCGGAGCUAAUACCGGAUAAUAUUUUGAACCGCAUGGUUCAAAAGUGAAAGACGGUCUUGCUGUCACUUAUAGAUGGAUCCGCGCUGCAUUAGCUAGUUGGUAAGGUAACGGCUUACCAAGGCAACGAUGCAUAGCCGACCUGAGAGGGUGAUCGGCCACCCUGGAACUGAGACACGGUCCAGACUCCUACGGGAGGCAGCAGUAGGGAAUCUUCCGCAAAGGGCGAAAGCCUGACGGAGCAACGCCGCGUGAGUGAUGAAGGUCUUCGGAUCGUAAAACUCUGUUAUUAGGGAAGAACAUAUGUGUAAGUAACUGUGCACAUCUUGACGGUACCUGAUCAGAAAGCCACGGCUAACUACGUG
RNAcentral lists this ribosomal RNA (497 nucleotides) under uncultured bacterium. RNAcentral describes it as "partial 16S ribosomal RNA". It matches the Rfam family "Bacterial small subunit ribosomal RNA", at positions 28 to 507 of the family's 1533-position model. The record is from RNAcentral.